This 757-nucleotide ribosomal RNA is filed under the name Pseudomonas aeruginosa. RNAcentral describes it as "bacterial SSU rRNA". It matches the Rfam family "Bacterial small subunit ribosomal RNA", at positions 57 to 809 of the family's 1533-position model. Lineage: Bacteria; Pseudomonadati; Pseudomonadota; Gammaproteobacteria; Pseudomonadales; Pseudomonadaceae. The record is from RNAcentral.
GCUAGUCGAGCGGAUGAAGGGAGCUUGCUCCUGGAUUCAGCGGCGGACGGGUGAGUAAUGCCUAGGAAUCUGCCUGGUAGUGGGGGAUAACGUCCGGAAACGGGCGCUAAUACCGCAUACGUCCUGAGGGAGAAAGUGGGGGAUCUUCGGACCUCACGCUAUCAGAUGAGCCUAGGUCGGAUUAGCUAGUUGGUGGGGUAACGGCCUACCAAGGCGACGAUCCGUAACUGGUCUGAGAGGAUGAUCAGUCACACUGGAACUGAGACACGGUCCAGACUCCUACGGGAGGCAGCAGUGGGGAAUAUUGGACAAUGGGCGAAAGCCUGAUCCAGCCAUGCCGCGUGUGUGAAGAAGGUCUUCGGAUUGUAAAGCACUUUAAGUUGGGAGGAAGGGCAGUAAGUUAAUACCUUGCUGUUUUGACGUUACCAACAGAAUAAGCACCGGCUAACUUCGUGCCAGCAGCCGCGGUAAUACGAAGGGUGCAAGCGUUAAUCGGAAUUACUGGGCGUAAAGCGCGCGUAGGUGGUUCAGCAAGUUGGAUGUGAAAUCCCCGGGCUCAACCUGGGAACUGCAUCCAAAACUACUGAGCUAGAGUACGGUAGAGGGUGGUGGAAUUUCCUGUGUAGCGGUGAAAUGCGUAGAUAUAGGAAGGAACACCAGUGGCGAAGGCGACCACCUGGACUGAUACUGACACUGAGGUGCGAAAGCGUGGGGAGCAAACAGGAUUAGAUACCCUGAUAGUGCACGUCGUAAACGA